CACGCCAUAAACGAUGAAUACUAGGUGUAGGGGGUAUCGACCCCCUCUGUGCCGACGUUAACACAUUAAGUAUUCCACCUGGGGAGUACGGCCGCAAGGCUGAAACUCAAAGGAAUUGACGGGGACCCGCACAAGCAGUGGAGUAUGUGGUUUAAUUCGACGCAACGCGAAGAACCUUACCAAGGCUUGACAUCCUCUGACCGCUGUAGAAAUACAGCUUCUCUUCGGAGCAGAGAGACAGGUGG
This 245-nucleotide ribosomal RNA is filed under the name uncultured Bacillota bacterium. RNAcentral describes it as "uncultured Firmicutes bacterium partial 16S ribosomal RNA". It matches the Rfam family "Bacterial small subunit ribosomal RNA", at positions 796 to 1041 of the family's 1533-position model. The record is from RNAcentral. Lineage: Bacteria; Bacillati; Bacillota.